RNAcentral lists this ribosomal RNA (915 nucleotides) under uncultured marine group I thaumarchaeote. RNAcentral describes it as "bacterial SSU rRNA". It matches the Rfam family "Archaeal small subunit ribosomal RNA", at positions 1 to 922 of the family's 1478-position model. The record is from RNAcentral. Lineage: Archaea; Thermoproteati; Nitrososphaerota.
UUUCCGGUUGAUCCUGCCGGACCUGACUGCUAUCGGAUUGAUACUAAGCCAUGCGAGUCAUUGUAGCAAUACAAGGCAGACGGCUCAGUAACGCGUAGUCAACCUACCCUAUGGACGGGGAUAACCUCGGGAAACUGAGUAUAAUACCCGAUAGAACAUUAUGCCUGGAAUGGUUUAUGUUCCAAAUGAUUUAUUGCCAUAGGAUGGGACUGCGGCCUAUCAGUUUGUUGGUGAGGUAAUGGCCCACCAAGACUAUUACAGGUACGGGCUCUGAGAGGAGUGGCCCGGAGAUGGGUACUGAGACACGGACCCAGGCCCUAUGGGGCGCAGCAGGCGAGAAAACUUUGCAAUGUGCGAAAGCACGACAAGGUUAAUCCGAGUGGUUUCUGCUAAAGGAACCUUUUGACAGUCCUAAAAACACUGUUGAAUAAGGGGUGGGCAAGUUCUGGUGUCAGCCGCCGCGGUAAAACCAGCACCUCAAGUGGUCAGGAUGAUUAUUGGGCCUAAAGCAUCCGUAGCCGGCUCUGUAAGUUUUCGGUUAAAUCUGUACGCUUAACGUACAGGCUGCUGGGAAUACUGCAGAGCUAGGGAGUGGGAGAGGUAGACGGUACUCGGGAGGAAGUGGUAAAAUGCUUUGAUCUCUCGAUGACCACCUGUGGCGAAGGCGGUCUACCAGAACACGUCCGACGGUGAGGGAUGAAAGCUGGGGGAGCAAACCGGAUUAGAUACCCGGGUAGUCCCAGCUGUAAACUAUGCAAACUCAGUGAUGCACUGGCUUGUGGCCAGUGCAGUGUUGCASGGAAGCCGUUAAGUUUGCCGCCUGGGAAGUACGUACGCAAGUAUGAAACUUAAAGGAAUUGGCGGGGGAGCACCACAAGGGGUGAAGCCUGCGGUUCAAUUGGAUUCAACGCCGGG